GGGGCUGUAGCUCAGAGGCAGAGCGCUUGCCUAGCAUGCCAGAGGCACUGGGUUCGAUCCUCAGCACCA
Molecule: transfer RNA, 69 nt
Filed under: Ictidomys tridecemlineatus (thirteen-lined ground squirrel)
Lineage: Eukaryota; Metazoa; Chordata; Mammalia; Rodentia; Sciuridae
Description: Spermophilus tridecemlineatus (thirteen-lined ground squirrel) tRNA
Rfam family: tRNA
About the family: Transfer RNA (tRNA) molecules are approximately 80 nucleotides in length. Their secondary structure includes four short double-helical elements and three loops (D, anti-codon, and T loops). Further hydrogen bonds mediate the characteristic L-shaped molecular structure. tRNAs have two regions of fundamental functional importance: the anti-codon, which is responsible for specific mRNA codon recognition, and the 3' end, to which the tRNAs corresponding amino acid is attached (by aminoacyl-tRNA synthetases). tRNAs cope with the degeneracy of the genetic code in two manners: having more than one tRNA (with a specific anti-codon) for a particular amino acid; and 'wobble' base-pairing, i.e. permitting non-standard base-pairing at the 3rd anti-codon position.
Source: Rfam by way of RNAcentral